This 1519-nucleotide ribosomal RNA is filed under the name human gut metagenome. Its description in RNAcentral is "bacterial LSU rRNA". It matches the Rfam family "Bacterial large subunit ribosomal RNA", at positions 476 to 1980 of the family's 2925-position model. The record is from RNAcentral.
CCUGAUGACCGAUAGAGAAGCAGUACCGUGAGGGAAAGGUGAAAAGAACCCCGGGAGGGGAGUGAAAUAGUACCUGAAACCUUGUGCUUACAAGCAGUCAGAGCACGUUAAAGUGUGAUGGCGUACCUUUUGUAGAAUGGUCCGGCGAGUUAUAGUCACUGGCGAGGUUAAGCAAUUCAGUUGUGGAGCCGAAGGGAAACCGAGUCUUAAUAGGGCGUCGAGUCAGUGGCCAUAGACCUGAAACCGGGUGACCUAUCCAUGAGCAGGUUGAAGUUGGUGUAAAAGCCAAUGGAGGACCGAACCCACGUUCGUUGCAAUGACCGGGGAUGACUUGUGGAUAGCGGAGAAAUUCCAAUCGAACUCGGAGAUAGCUGGUUCUCCCCGAAAUAGCUUUAGGGCUAGCCUCAUAUUAGAUACCCGGAGGUAAAGCACUGAAUGGCCUAGCGCCCGAGAGGGUAGCGAAGCCUAUCAAACUAAGAAUGCCGGAGUAUUGAUGUAUGGGAGUCAGACAGUGUGAGAUAAAUCUCAUUGUCAAAAGGGAAACAGCCCAGAUCUACAGCUAAGGUCCCAAAUUGUAUCUAAGUGGAAAACGAUGUGGAAAUACGCAGACAACCAGGAUGUUGGCUCAGAAGCAGCCACUCAUUUAAAGAGUGCGUAAUAGCUCACUGGUCGAGAGACCCUGCGCCGAAGAUUCCCGGGGCUAAAGUACGAAACCGAAGCUGUGGCUGUAUACGUAAAGUAUACGGGGUAGGGGAGCGUUCCCAUAGGGUAGAAGUCGAACUGGAAGGUUCGGUGGACUUGUGGGAAGUGAGAAUGUUGGUAUGAGUAGCGAAAAGAAAGGUGAGAAUCCUUUCCACCGAAAGCAUAAGGAUUCCUGAGCAACGAUCGUCGUCUCAGGGUAAGUCGGGACCUAAUCCGAGGCAGAGAGCGUAGGAGAUGGACAACUGGUUGAUAUUCCAGUACCGGUAGUAAUUGUUUGAGCAAUGGAGUGACACAGAAGGGCAGGCAAGCAUGCGAAUGGAAGAGCAUGUGUAAGCGUGUAGGGUGGUGCAUAGGCAAAUCCGUGCACUGAAAGCCUGAGGCGUGAUGCGGAGUGAGCAGAGAUGCGAGCGAAGUUGUUGACCCCACACUGUCGAGAAAAGCUUCUAGUGAGAGAGCUACCGCCCGUACCGUAAACCGACACAGGUAUGCGGGGAGAGAAUCCUAAGGUGCGCGGGAGAACCCUCGUUAAGGAACUCGGCAAAAUGUACCCGUAACUUCGGGAUAAGGGUAGCCACUGUUGUGAAGUCCCAUGCGGAUGGAGCAUAGAGUGGUCGCAGAGAAGAGGCCCAAGCGACUGUUUACCAUAAACACAGGUGCCUGCUAAAGCGAAAGCUGACGUAUAGGUGCUGACACCUGCCCAGUGCCGGAAGGUUAAGGAAGGAUGUUCGGAUUAGUCCAAAGCAUUCGACUGAAGCCCCGGUGAACGGCGGCCGUAACUAUAACGGUCCUAAGGUAGCGAAAUUCCUUGUCGGGUAAG